This 5898-nucleotide long non-coding RNA is filed under the name Marmota monax (woodchuck). The record is from RNAcentral. Lineage: Eukaryota; Metazoa; Chordata; Mammalia; Rodentia; Sciuridae.
GGCACGGUCAGCGCAGUUCAGGGGCACUGUCUCCACAGUGACCUCAGCUGCCGUCGCCAAGUCCCAGGCAGAGCAUCUUCAGAUAGCAUCACGCUAAACCCUCCCUCCAAACCCACAUCCAGAGGUCCAGGGAGACGUCGAGGCCCAGAGUCCCCCUCACCAGCUCCUCGCGGGCAACCGUUUAUUAACAGGUCAACAGAGCACCGGUCAGGGCGGACGGCAGGAGCCACAGGAACACGCCACCCUCCCGGCCUCCAGGGGAGCCAAGCAGCUCCCACAAGCUCAGCAAGCACGAUGCCAUGAUUAGUGUCCCUGCUCCAUCCUGCAUGACCUCGGGAGGUCACUUAGCCUUCCUGGGACUCAGUUUCUCCAGCUCUAAGAUGAACGGUGAUAAUGGCAUCUGUCUCACCAGGUUACUCUGAGGACUGAGUGAAACGCCCAGGACGUGGAAUGGCACGUAGUAAGUGCUCAGGAAACACCAACGGUUGUUAUGGAGCCAGACCCAGCGCACAGCCUCUGACAGCUGGUCAGGCCGAGGUCUUCCCCGCAAGCCAGCAGCAGCAGGUGGGCGAGGCCCUCAGGACAGUUGAGUGGCCCCUGCCGCCCACCAGCACGGACAGCUCCUGGCCUUGUGUGACCCACUUUCUCAGUUUAAAAUGGGCCCUGGGAUGGCUGCUGUCCUGCCUUGCAAGGAAGGCCCUGGAGUCCCCGGGGGGCUGCGGCCUCUUCCCACACCAGAGCAUGGGCUCGGCAGCCAGGGCCUCCCAGCAGGGCGGAUGGGCCUCGGCCGAGGCAGCUGCUCUCCGCCGGCCACCUCGGCCACCGAGAGGGCCUGUGGCUGGGGCUGGGCAGGGGCUGGGCCUGGCCAGCAGGCACUUCUCGCCUCUUAGGAACUAAACCCGCCCUCAUGCUCCCUGACCACACGCCACAGCAAGAGGCCAGCAGGGCUGCCCGGCCAGCCGCCUCUGCCAAGACCAGCACUCGGGGAGCCAGAUGGCAGGGGCCUUUCCCAGCCUGCCAGCGGCUACCUGUGUGGCCUGGGGAGUCUGUCCACCUCCUAGACCUCAGACUCUGCCCCUGCCUGUGUCACAGGGGCGGCGAGGCGCUCCUUGACCAAGGCGGACGGUGUCCUGGAACCCGGGGGGACGAGUAGGGUGGAUUGGAUACGCAGUGUCCCCCGAAAGCUUCUGGGCUGGCAGGGGUGCGUCCAGAGGUGAAGAGUCUGGAGUGGCGGAGCUGUCCUUGCGGAACCAGCCGGGACCCACCAACCCGGGGGGAUGUAGGGAGGCGGGGCGGGCGGAGGUGGGUCACCAGGGCUGGGGGGUGCGUCUUCCCGUGGCCCCCCUCUGAACCCCUGUUUCCUUUCCUGUAGGCUGCCUCACCUGGGGCUCCAGCCAUGGACUGGCCAUCUAGGGACGGAGACCUCUGACACACGACCCAAAUAACCUUCCCUGCUCUGAGUCGCUCCGGCAGGGAAUUUUGGCCACGAAAACAAAAAAGCUCCUGAACUGCAGCUUUAAGUAAGUAACCAGCUGCAGCCGUGGCCCCGAGGCCGAGCGGCAGACCCACAGCUGGGCCACCCGAGCGGCCCAGGGACACCCCGGCUCCGGGAGAGGCUGACCCCAGGCUGCUGUCUUCUCCUGCCCAUCCUGCAGGCCAAGGGAGAUCAGAUCCACAGCCACAAGGGCCCAUGGAGAGCCGGUCCACCUUCCCGGUGUGGGGUUACGUGACCAGGCUCCUGGCCACCUCGCCUGAGCAAACGGUUGGGAUGACCUCUUUCCCUCCGCGUGGGCCCCGGGCCAGACCCGUCAGGGCCAAGCAGGGUGGAAAUCCGAUCGCCCACCGCAUUCUGGGCAGCAGCCUCCUGUGGGAUGCCAGGGGACAGCAGGACGAAGCUGUCACAAAGCCCUGGGCCAAGAGGCGGCCAACGGACUGUCCCAGUGAGGUGGGGACGGGUGGUACAGAGAAGAGAGCCUGGGAGGGGGCCCGGCACUGGGUGCUAUAUGGGUGCUGCCUCCCACGGCAGCCCUGGGACAGGGCUCCACGCCACAGAGAGGUCGUGUCACUUUCCCAGACACACAGUCAGGGAGCAGCUGAGCCAGGAUUGGACCAAGGCCUUCUGAUUCCAGGGUCCCCCUCCCCCGGAACAGUGGCUUUAAGCAAGGACAGAAAACCCCAGAGUGGGGGAGAGAGGGCUCCAGGGCCACUGUUUCCCACCUCGUAGGGAGGGGCGGGGGAGGGGCAAGCAGUGGGGACAGCAGAGCUUCUCUGGCUCUAAAGGGGCCUCCAGGAGUCACGGGGACCCACGGAAGGCGUUUGGCUCUGGGGAAACUCUCAGGUGACAAAUUUUAAAUAUUGCACAAUAUUUUAAAAACUGUAACUGGCUCCUGAAACCAAGCAGUAGCAACUCCAGACAUGUCCAAGGAGGCGCUCGGAAAAAAUCACAACUAACCUACAUGUCCAGCAGGAGGGGAACGGCUGAAUGAUGAGUCACUCCAAAACCAGCUUGUAUCAGUAAAGAAACUAAUCAUGGUUGCUCUUUACGCAAAACCCUAGUUAGAUUCUCUUGCCAUGGAAAGGGAAUGCUAAGUAAGAAAAGCAAUUUUCAGAAUAACCUGGAUGACAUGAAACCAUUUGUCCACACACACACACACACACACACAGGAACACUACUCCUUUAGGUCAUGCGUGUCAGUGCACAGAAAAAGAUCUCGAGGAUAUACCCAAGUAAUGACAAUGAGGUUUCACUCCAUGAGGUCAUCUCGGUGUCGUGGUGGCCAAGGAAGGCUUUGUUAAAAUUUGAUUUUUUUAUGUGUGGCAAAAACAUACUUGUGUAGGGCUGGGGAUGCGGCUCAGUAAGCAGAGUGCUGGCCUCACAUGCAGCAGGCCCGGGUCCCCUUCGUGGCACAGCAGUAAUAAUGGUAAAUACACACACACGGACACGUACGUGUCCAUACACACACACACACACACACACACGUGCGUGCACUAGUUUCUUCUUUGGAUAACUAAAACUUAGUGCAACAAGAUUAAAGAGACCAGAGCUGCUGGGGAAGCCGAUCUAUAUUGGAGUUGGGGAUCAGAGAAAUUCAGUCACUGCGGGGACAGGGACUCCGGGCCCUGCUGAGCCUCAGGAGUGUUGCUGGGGAGACAGGGGCGACCCUCAUUCCAACCCAUGGAUAGGGGAGAAGGGGGGGCAGCACGAGGUCCCCCCGUGACUCAAAGGGAGUGUCUUGGGCCGUCAGAGGUGCCCUGGCAGCCACCCCCGUCCAGCCUCCCCAGGGACCCCAGCACCCCCCUGGUCCCUGGACGAAUGCCCAGCUCCAGGGGUGCUCCUGGCCCGGGCCGCGUCUCCAGGGGGACUCUGCACAGAGGCAGGAACCAGGGAGGAGGCAGAAGAAAGGGGACAGGGACAGGGACAGGAAGUGCUCCCAGGCUGCCUCCCCGCAGUGGCCCAGCUGUGACAAGCCCAGACCCCGACUCAGGCAGAACCCGUGAGUCCCACAGACCUGACCCCAGUCGGGAACUGGCCCUGACCACGUCACGGGCAGAGGUCAGCGACGUCACUGCACCCAGACAGCUGCAGGGUCAGGAGUGAGCCCAGCCCGCCCUGACUCCCUCGAGACCUUGCCAAGGUCACUGUGCUCACUGCCAACGGGCCUGGGGAGGCCCCUGCCCGCCCCGUGAGGACACAGCGAGCAACACCUGCGUGGCCUCCUGUGGACCGUGCCGCUGUCCCCGCACGACAGGCCCUGCUGUUCUUCGCACCCGGGGCACUGAGGCGAGGCGGCGGCAAGGGCGGAGCCCCACACUGGCCGCAGGUCCAGGGCCCAGGGCGGCCGGGAAGACCUGCUUCUGGCCGAGGCCGCAGGCCAAGGAACUCUCAGGCAGAGGAAGGGCCAGGGAGACGGGGCGAGCCCAAGGGCAGUGCAGACUUUCUUGGCCGCUGGCCUGGACCCAGGGCGGGCACUCAGGGAGGGCAAGGGAACCGCUGGCAGGUGCCACCAAAGAGUCUGAUUUCUACCUGAAACUGGGGGAGGGGCCUCUGGAAGCCAGCCAGCCAGCCGGGAUCUGGGGCAGGAGCAGGUCACAGAACUGGGAAGGCGCCGGAGGAGAGGAAGGACUCAGUCACCAGGAGCAGCAGAGACAGGCUGUGACAACAGCAAACCGUGGACGGUGCCCUUGAACUCUGGACACGGCCUCGGGGGAUUCAAUCAGAUGUGUCCCUAAGAAGGGAGCCUGAGCCACACCCACAGGCUCAUGGUGUCCUCUGGGGAGAGGGGCCACCAAGAAGUAAGCAGGUCCCCUGGCACUCGUGAGGAAAAGUGCCAGCCUGGGGGACCCUGAGACGGGCUCGGAGCCGGCCUGACCCACAGCCAGCUCUGAGUCCUGAGUGGACCCACGGGCACAGAGGGUGGAGGGCUCAAGCUGCCAGUCACCACGCACCACCGGGGCCACAGUCAAAGCCCAGGCUUCUCGGCGACUCCUACCCGGCUGGCCAUGAAGCCAGGGCCAGGACCGGCAAGGAAUGGCUGCCAGUCCUGUGGUGCAGAACCUCGCCCCAGAGCCCCUGCUGAACAGCAGCCAGCCCGCCGCCUGCCCAGAGCUGCAGGGGGACAAGGCUGGGCCACCCAGAUGGGCCCCAGGGGAGGCGGCGCAGGUGGGGCUGCAGAGUGCUCCCCGGCUCCCCGCAGGCCCCACUCUCUGUGGACUUGUGGCCACACGCAGGUCCAGCCACACCUUGGUCUGUCCCCAGGAGCCUGGGGACAGGGCGUGCUGGCUCCUGGGGGGCAGGGGGCAAGGGCCUUGGCGCCCAGAGGCUGCCCUGCUGCUCCAUGGCUGGCCCAGGCUGGACGAGAACCGUCCUCACUGCCCCACCAGGGGCUUGCUGACCUCUGAGGCCACUCACGCAGAUCCCAGCCCUAGCCCCUGGAGGGACCUUGAAGGAAGCCGACUGAGGCCACCAGCCACCACUCACCUCCCACACAGACCCCCUGCCACUGGAGAGCAGUGCUUGGCCAAGCCCCUGACCUUAGGCCCUGACCACAGCCCCCCCUCCUCCUGCCACACCAGCAUGGCUCCGAUGUGCCCAGACUGCAACGGGACACCUGCUGGCAGCACCCAGUCCACGCUCCUGCAGCCCUGGCAGGAUGGGACAGAUGGGCUGCUGUGGCCAGCUCACCACCCAGGUGUCAACUCGUGGCUGGGACAGCCUGGAAGCUGCCUGGCCCACCCCAGAGGCCGCCUGCCUGUGCAGCCAGCACUGACUCACCGGACAGGAAGGGACCUCUCACCAGCAAUCAUCCACUGGCUCAAGAAGCAUCCCUCUGACGGCGCCCUGAGGGACACCAACCUGGCCCCUUUGGUCCUUUAGAUCACCAUGUUUCCCACCCUGAGCGUGAUGCUGCUAUCCGGACAGAAUUCCCAAACCUAGCCGUCUCUCUCCCCUGCUUAGGAAGUAUCCAUGGCUUCCCAGGGCCUCCAAGGCAGAGUCCCAUCCUCACCUAGUGGCACCCAAGGCCCUCCCAGUGUGGCCUAAGCCGCCUUUCCUGGACCCGCGGCACCUGUUCUCCUCCAAACUCCCGCCAUUCCCAGAGCCUCGUCCUGGCUGCCUGCCUUUGGACCACUGUCCCCAGACGCCUUCCCUCCCCCCCAGCCACCUGUCCUCCUCCUCACAGCAGGCGGCUCCUCCUGCUCCUCUGGGAGGGCACCUCGCCCUCCUACCUCCCCACCUCCGUGCCCUGGUAGGUGCCCUGCUCCCUGCCCCCCCCCCCAUGGCCAGCAGCAUCGGGGCAAGGGCUGCUCGAACUGCUUGUGGUGGAGACUGUUUUAAGUUCUCGGAUCUGUUGCCCACGGAUGCUUUGUGAAACACAAUAAAACUGACGGCUGACGUCAAGC